Molecule: non-coding RNA, 117 nt
Organism: Pan troglodytes (chimpanzee)
Lineage: Eukaryota; Metazoa; Chordata; Mammalia; Primates; Hominidae
Rfam family: Metazoan signal recognition particle RNA
About the family: The signal recognition particle (SRP) is a universally conserved ribonucleoprotein. It is involved in the co-translational targeting of proteins to membranes. The eukaryotic SRP consists of a 300-nucleotide 7S RNA and six proteins: SRPs 72, 68, 54, 19, 14, and 9.
Source: Rfam
GCUGGGCAUGGUGGCUCAUGCCUGUAAUCCCAGCACUUUGGGAGGCUGAGGCAGAUGGAUCACCUGAGGUCAGGAGUUCAAGACCAGCCUGGCCAACAUGGUGAAACUCCGUCUCUA